AUGGCUCCUCGUCCUCCUUGUCCCAUCCCUGCUUGGCUCCACGGUAGAUGUUGUAGAUGCCUUGCUUAUGGGCAUCGUGCUGCUGUUUGCAGAGAUCCGUUGCGGUGCUCCCGUUGUUUGGAGAAUGGUCAUCGUGCACGUGAAUGUCGCAACCCCUGGCGUCCACUGAGCUCACUAUCAUGCCUUGAUGUGCCGCAUGUGUCCCGCCUCGCCGCCGUGCAUCGUGUUGCUCCUGCUUCAUGUGAGGGUUCGGUGAGAUCCACACCCCCUUCCAAGGUGAUUCACCGUGGGUCUUGGGCGUCUGUUGUCUCUGCUGCUGCUGGCUCGGCAACCCCGUCCAAGAUGAUGUUGCAGUCCGCACUGGCUGAUCAGACUGCACUGUUGCAUGGUUGUGUGGCGCGGGUUUAG
This 408-nucleotide ribosomal RNA is filed under the name Triticum aestivum (bread wheat). RNAcentral's name for it is "partial small subunit ribosomal RNA". Lineage: Eukaryota; Viridiplantae; Streptophyta; Magnoliopsida; Poales; Poaceae. The record is from RNAcentral.